GGAGGAGCGUGUGAAAAAACGGAGCAGAAUCCACAUGACUAGUGCAGUGGAAACACAGGGAGAGCUGCAGUCGAGGCGUGGGUGAGUGAACAUCAUGGGACAUAUUCUCAGUGAAUGAACUAACGUUACAGCAGUUUGGAGCUUCACCCCUUCAUCCCAGAGCGCACAGCUGCUGAACUCACUGGACAAUAUAACAGCACUGAAGCUGAGAUUACAGAGUCCUGUUUUAAAGUUUAGAAUAAUGAGAGUGAAUUUUUCUGCUAGUUGGAUAUUUCAAGGAUGGAUCACACACUUCGUUCUUGCUCUGUGCACGCAGGCAGGGCUGGCCAUAAGCUGCCAACAAAACGAAUAUGAGCACAACGGGGGAUGCUGCAGAAAAUGUGAACCAGCAGAAGGAUAAGAAAAAGAGGAAGAGGCCUACACACACC
Molecule: long non-coding RNA, 428 nt
Filed under: Sinocyclocheilus grahami
Lineage: Eukaryota; Metazoa; Chordata; Actinopteri; Cypriniformes; Cyprinidae
Description: lncRNA (ENSSGRG00000036545.1)
Source: RNAcentral